AUUUAUAUAGUUUAAUUAAAACAUUACAUUUUCACUGUAAAAAUAAAGGUCUCACUUUUAUAAAUA
Molecule: transfer RNA, 66 nt
Filed under: Isoptena serricornis
Lineage: Eukaryota; Metazoa; Arthropoda; Insecta; Plecoptera; Chloroperlidae
Description: tRNA-Glu
Rfam family: tRNA
About the family: Transfer RNA (tRNA) molecules are approximately 80 nucleotides in length.
Source: RNAcentral